GUGGGUAUUGCUCAGUAGUAGAGCACAUGCUUAACAUGCAUGAGGUCCAGGGUUCAAUUCCCAGUACCUCCA
Molecule: transfer RNA, 72 nt
Organism: Camelus ferus (Wild Bactrian camel)
Lineage: Eukaryota; Metazoa; Chordata; Mammalia; Artiodactyla; Camelidae
Rfam family: tRNA
About the family: Transfer RNA (tRNA) molecules are approximately 80 nucleotides in length. Their secondary structure includes four short double-helical elements and three loops (D, anti-codon, and T loops).
Source: Rfam